ACGGAAGGCAGCAGUGGGGACUAUUGGACAAUGGGCGCAAGCCUGAUCUAGCGACGCAGCGUGAGUGAAGAAGUAUUUCGGUAUGUAAAGCUCUGUCAGCAGGGAAGAUAAUGACGGUACCUGACUAAGAAGCCCCGGCUAACUACGUGCCAGCGGCCGCGGUAAUACGUAGGGGGCAAGCGUUAUCCGGAUUUACUGGGUGUAAAGGGAGCGUAGACGGCAAGGCAAGUCUGAUGUGAAAACCUAAGGCUCAACCAUGGGACUGCAUUGGAAACUGUCGAGCUAGAGUGCAGGAGAGGUAAGUGGAAUUCCUAGGGUAGCGGUGAAAUGCGUAGAUAUUAGGAGGAACACCAGUGGCGAAGGCGGCUUACUGGACUGUAACGGACGUUGAGGCUCGAAAGCGUGGGUAGCAAACAGGAUUAGAUACCCUGGUA
Molecule: ribosomal RNA, 434 nt
Filed under: uncultured Clostridium sp.
Lineage: Bacteria; Bacillati; Bacillota; Clostridia; Eubacteriales; Clostridiaceae
Description: partial 16S ribosomal RNA
Rfam family: Bacterial small subunit ribosomal RNA
Source: RNAcentral